GGGCAUGUAGCUCAGUGGAUAGAGCACCAGAUUCCGGUUCUGGGUGUCGGGGGUUCAACUCCCUCCAUGCUCG
Molecule: transfer RNA, 73 nt
Filed under: Zarconia navalis LEGE 11467
Lineage: Bacteria; Bacillati; Cyanobacteriota; Cyanophyceae; Oscillatoriales
Also listed under: 1 other name
Rfam family: tRNA
About the family: Transfer RNA (tRNA) molecules are approximately 80 nucleotides in length. Their secondary structure includes four short double-helical elements and three loops (D, anti-codon, and T loops).
Source: Rfam by way of RNAcentral